UACGUAGGUGGCGAGCGUUGUCCGGAAUUAUUGGGCGUAAAGAGCGUGUAGGUGGGAUAGUCAGUCUCAUUUAAAAGAUCGGGGCUCAACCCCGUUAAGGGUGAGAAACAGCUAUUCUUGAGUGCAGGAGAGGAAAGCGGAAUUCCCAGUGUAGCGGUGAAAUGCGUAGAUAUUGGGAGGAACACCAGUGGCGAAGGCGGCUUUCUGGACUGUGUCUGACACUGAGGCGCGAAAGCUAGGGGAGCGAACGGG
This 252-nucleotide ribosomal RNA is filed under the name uncultured bacterium. Its description in RNAcentral is "partial 16S ribosomal RNA". It matches the Rfam family "Bacterial small subunit ribosomal RNA", at positions 524 to 776 of the family's 1533-position model. The record is from RNAcentral.